AUGUCAUUACUUUCUGUUUACGAAAGUUUCAUUAAUAUAUAUAUUUAUAUUUUUUUUAGCCUUUCAAGACAAAUAAGAGAAAAUUUUCAAAAGAGAAAUAAUAUUGUUCAAUGAUGAAAAAAUAGUUGUAAAUGAGACAUCCAUUGGUUGAACCUAUGUAACUAGCCUAAAUUAUCAUUUAUAAAUUUAGGAUUUAUUAAAAUUAAAGAGCAGGUAGAUAGCAUAUGUAACAGCCCGAUUUUUCGCUAUAUUUGUUUUAAUUACUUUUAUUGUGUGUUUAUAUGUGCUUGUGUGUGAUCAUUCAUCAGUGGGUGCAUUUUUGUGGAUUUCUGUGUUAGAAGGGUAAUUUAGUCAUUUUGGACUUAGAGGUAUUUUGGUCAUUUUGUGAGAACGGGUAAAUUAUAAGUUUUUGUGAGAAUUAUUUUUAGUAUUUAGUGGGAACCGUUAUUUUGCUAAGUUACUAGAGUAAUAGUCAAUAGUUUACCGUUGAGUGACCGUUGGUAGAAUUUUAUCGUUUAGUGGCCGUUAUUAGUGGUUUACCGUCGUUUGUGUAGAAACAUUUUAGAAUUAAGUUGGAAUGAGUUAAAUCCAUUAAGCUUAGAGUUAGGCCCAUUAAGGGGACUUACUAUAAAAACCUUGUCUUAGAGGAAAUUUCCUCACAUUUUCAUUUCAUAAAAUAUUUUUGAGAGAGUUAGAGAGAGAAAGUGGGAGCAAGGAGAAAAGGGUUAGAGAGAAGAGGAACUUGAAGAAUCAAGGAUUGGGGGAGAGCUAGGAGCUAAAUUGAAGCCUAAGCUAGGGAGAUUAAUCUAACUAAGAGAUCCAUUGGUGAUCUAGAUUGUGGGCUUCGACCUUGCAGAGACCUUUGACGGUCUAGAUAUAGGUGACAACCUUGAAGUGAAAUGGUACCACAUGCAUAUAUGUGUCGGGCUAGGUGCACUUCAUGCAUGAGUCUUAUUGGUGAAAUAUGAAUGAUAAUUGUGUGUGAAUAAAUGUGAUUAAAGAAUGUUCAUGACACAUGUGACUGGUGAUUGAUUGAUGUGAGAUAUGGGGAUUAUAGUAUGAAUAAAUAUAUAAGUGAUAUUAUUAUCGGAUUCAAUGCAUGAUAUUUGAAUUGAACUAUUCAUGUUAAUUAUUAUAUGGAUUAUGAUGAUGUAAUACUUACCCCAGUGGUUUUGACCGCUACCUGUUUGUAUGGAUGAGUAGACGUUGUGCAGGAUUAGUUGCUCUAGUGAGUCUUUUGUGCUUGGUGGAUAUCAGGAGCUUUCUCCGGUAUCGGUGUUAGUUGCGUCUAGGCUGGCUCUGAUCUAGGCGUCUGUUAGAUUUAUCUGUUGGAUUUUCUUUGAUGUUAGAGAUUUACCCUAUGUUGGGAUUUU
RNAcentral lists this long non-coding RNA (1373 nucleotides) under Medicago truncatula (barrel medic). RNAcentral describes it as "lncRNA gene30736". Lineage: Eukaryota; Viridiplantae; Streptophyta; Magnoliopsida; Fabales; Fabaceae. The record is from RNAcentral.